Long non-coding RNA from Arabidopsis thaliana (thale cress), 2348 nucleotides. RefSeq annotates it as other RNA. The record is from RefSeq. Lineage: Eukaryota; Viridiplantae; Streptophyta; Magnoliopsida; Brassicales; Brassicaceae. The transcript has a single exon.
CUUCUUAUUUAUAUACAUAUAAAUUUUGCAACGGACAAAAAUAAACACAAAUUUGAAUGGUUGCAGAAUUUUACAUGGUGGCUGAGGCGAGAGGACCAUUAGUGUCAAGAUGGUGCAGGACUGUGAACCACUGCACCAAAUGUGAGUGCCUUAAUAACUUUUGCACUUGUACCGGAAGGCUUCCACCAGCUACCGCCCUCACCCCCGCAUCUCAGCCUUCGCCUCUACUUUGAUUUAGAAUAUAAUCCUACAAUGAACUAUAUGUUUUCCCUACUUAUGAUAUACUACAACAUUCUGAAAUUGUUUUACAUGAUGUAAUCAAAAGACGUGAUCGUUGCUUUCAAAUAUUUACAAAAUAAAAUCUCACAUGAGCCUAGUUUUUUCAUCUGAGCAUAUCUCCGGAAUGUAUUUGUAGUCCGCUAAGCGCAGGCGAUAUUGUGAAUCCGUUUCCGUCCAUACGGUACGAAGGAUGCGCGAGCGGGACUGGUCGGUCCGGAAUAGGAGGAACCUCGAUGUCUCCUUCAAGCAUUUUCAAUGCAUCUAAUAUUGUUGGCCUUAAAGCAACCAAUACAUGGGCACACAAUAUCCCAACUUGCAAGAAUCUCUCCAUUAUCCCUUUCGGAUUCGAGAGCCCUGAGCCUUCCUCUCUCAACAAAGACUGCUCAAGAGCUUCCUCUGUUUUCCCUGCUUUUACCAAUGACCAAGCCCAAUCUGUGAUCAGAAAAGUGUUUGGUGAUCCAGAAGUAGACAGAUCAAGAGCUUUCCUUCCACACAUGAUCUCCAAUAUAACAACCCCGAAGCUAUACACAUCGCUUUUCUCGGUUAAUUGACCAUAGAGGGCAUACUCUGGAGCCAAGUAACCGUGUGUUCCCGCAACUCUGGUAGUGAGAUGAGACUCUCCUUCUCUACUCUGUUUAGCUAAACCGAAAUCCGCAACUCUCGCUCUCAUAUCGACAUCUAACAAUAUGUUCGUACCUUUAAUAUCCCGGUGAUAAAUAGCGGGUUUCACACCGUAAUGCAAAUAAGCCAACCCUUUAGCCACAUCCAAAAUGAUGCUCUUUCUCUGAGGCCAGCUCAAUGGCAUCUUCGUAGUCUCACCUCGAGGAAACAAGUGAUCAUCGAGAUUUCCAUUAGACAUGUAAUCAUAAACAAGAUAUCUCUGACUCUCACUAUCAUCAUCCACCAUACUACAACCUCUAAGCGGAACAAGAUUCCUAUGUUUCAAAUUGCUAAUGAUCUCAACCUCAUUACGAAACUCUGCAUCCCCUUGAAACUCAGACUCUAUCACCUUCUUAACCGCGAUAACCGAUCCAUCUGGUAAAACCCCUUUGUAAACAAAACCAAACCCGCCUCGACCGAUGAAAUUCUUCUGCGAGAAGUUAUUCGUAGCUUUCUCUAGUUCCUCGAUUUUGAACCAGAUAGAGCCAGUGUUUGGUCUCCAUUUCGGUCUAGACCCUUGAUCCUCCCAACCAACCUCUCCUCCUUUAACAGCUUUACCAAACCGGAAAUACAAACAAAUCAAACCGGCAAUAACCAGAGCCCCGAAAAUAGCUCCGGUUAUCCCUAAAGCAAGAGCCACCGUGUGUCUUUUCUUCUUUGAGUUCAAUGGAGAUCUCAAACUCAAAGAGAAGAGACAAGACAAAGCAUCAUCACUCUCAGGUCCUUUCUUGUUAACAAUACCAGCAGCGUAAGUAACCACAAAAUGGUAACAAUAAACACCGUGAGAGCUAUUACCGUCCAAAGUGAUGAGCUGUUUUUGAACCCUAAACCCAGCCGCCACGCAAGCGUCGCAUCGCGUUAGAUCAGUGAGACCACUGCUACAGGCGGAGUCAAGCGCCGUAGAUGGACCGAGACGAGAUACCCAAUCUUGAGUCGUUUGGAUUCCAGCACAGGUUUCGUUAUUGAUGACGAACUGAUUCGGAUCGAAACAGAGAGAGGUGAGAUUCGAAGAUAGAGAGAGUGAACUAAGCUUCGUUUGGAGAUUGUUGAGACAAGAGAUUGAAGUAGCGAGAUUUGGGAGACGGAAAUUGGAAGUUUGUUUGAGACGAUGAGCUAGAGGGAUUCCGAUUAGAGUUAAAAGAGAUUGGCAACAACUGUUCUUGCUAUCGGCUGAUUUGUCGGACUUUUGACAAUCUGUUGUGUUCCAUGGGAUUGUUAGGACAUGAGAGAAAUCUAAAGGACAAGUUUGUGAUGGAGAUUGAGCAACGCAGUUUGUGAGAUACAGGAAUGAAAGAAGAAGAAAGAGAAUCGAGUUAGGCAUGUUUAUGUUGGAUUAUGGUGAAAUCGAAGAUAUGGGUUUGGAGAAUCUGAGGUUUUUUGGUGGUGGAAAGUGAGUGAUUGAUUUUGGC